This 253-nucleotide ribosomal RNA is filed under the name uncultured bacterium. RNAcentral describes it as "partial 16S ribosomal RNA". It matches the Rfam family "Bacterial small subunit ribosomal RNA", at positions 524 to 776 of the family's 1533-position model. The record is from RNAcentral.
UACAGAGGUCCCAAGCGUUGUUCGGAUUUAUUGGGCGUAAAGGGUGCGUAGGCGGCGGAGUAAGUUGGGUGUGAAAUCCCGGGGCUCAACCUCGGAAUUGCAUUCAAUACUGCUUCGCUUGAGUACUGGAGAGGAGGCUGGAAUUUACGGUGUAGCAGUGAAAUGCGUAGAUAUCGUAAGGAAGGCCGGUGGCGAAAGCGAGCCUCUGGACAGUUACUGACGCUGAUGCACGAAGGCCAGGGGAGCAAACGGG